AAAAAAAAGUGUAUAACCGCAACCGCGGGCACAAAAAUAGGUAUUAAUUUUUCCCUUCUAAAACUAAAUUUUUAAAAUUUUAAAUUAAUUCCCCCCUAAAAUUUUUUUUUUUUAAAAAUUAAAUUCCCCCAAAAUUUAUGUAAAAUAAGGGUUAAUAAUUUUUUUAAAACCCUUAGAAAAUUUUU
This 185-nucleotide ribosomal RNA is filed under the name Antheraea frithi. Its description in RNAcentral is "partial 12S ribosomal RNA". Lineage: Eukaryota; Metazoa; Arthropoda; Insecta; Lepidoptera; Saturniidae. The record is from RNAcentral.